GCAGCCGCGGUAAUACGUAGGGGGCAAGCGUUAUCCGGAUUUACUGGGUGUAAAGGGAGCGUAGACGGCAAGGCAAGUCCGAUGUGAAAACCCGCGGCUCAACCGCGGGAUUGCAUUGGAAACUGUUUAGCUCGAGUACUGGAGGGGUAAGCGGAAUUCCUAGUGUAGCGGUGAAAUGCGUAGAUAUUAGGAGGAACACCGGCGGCGAAGGCGGCUUACUGGACAGUAACUGACGUUGAGGCUCGAAAGCGUGGGGAGCAAACAGGAUUAGAUACCCC
RNAcentral lists this ribosomal RNA (278 nucleotides) under uncultured Acetitomaculum sp. RNAcentral's name for it is "partial 16S ribosomal RNA". It matches the Rfam family "Bacterial small subunit ribosomal RNA", at positions 511 to 788 of the family's 1533-position model. Lineage: Bacteria; Bacillati; Bacillota; Clostridia; Lachnospirales; Lachnospiraceae. The record is from RNAcentral.